GCCCUACUGGCCUAAUGGCUAAGGCGUAUGACUUCGUAUGUGUCCCCGUGGCCCUUUCGAAUUAAACAAAACUAACCUGUUAAUUAUAGUAAUCAUAAGAUUGGGGGUUCGAGUCCCCCGUGGGGUU
Molecule: non-coding RNA, 127 nt
Organism: Xylaria palmicola
Lineage: Eukaryota; Fungi; Ascomycota; Sordariomycetes; Xylariales; Xylariaceae
Source: the annotation of a GenBank genome assembly